This 782-nucleotide long non-coding RNA is filed under the name Olea europaea (common olive). RNAcentral's name for it is "long non-coding RNA (OEUR_LNC014796)". Lineage: Eukaryota; Viridiplantae; Streptophyta; Magnoliopsida; Lamiales; Oleaceae. The record is from RNAcentral.
CAAGAUUAAUCAACAAUUGCAAGAAUUUAACCAAACCUCAUGUCUUGAAUUAAAAAUAAAUAAUAACGGGUUUCAUCUUCAUUCAAUAUAUGAGAAAAAUUAGCAUAACAUAAAAUUGGAAUUAAAUACAUAAAAUUGGAAAAACAUAACCGAGAAAUUGAUGAAACGCCAUUAAUUCCACAAAUUUGCACGACUUUUGUGCGAGUGUAACCGGUUGUUUUCUUCUCGUUUACUGCAAACUGCUCCAAAUUGUGUGUGUUGUUUAUUUAUAAAAUUCAGCCCAAGCAGCCAGCAAUCUUCUCUCCAAUUUCUAUCAAUUUCGGCUGCCUUUUUGUCUAUAUCAUAAAACCCAGCAACCAACUUGUAUUUUAUUCCAACUCCAAUUCUACCCAAAGCUGCCACUUUUGUUUGUCUUGUAUAUAUGUUAAAUUCCAAGAAUUCCAAGCAACCGACAAUUGUGUAUCGCUGUCUUCUUCUCCCCCAGCUGCGUGAUGUGUAUAUAUAUCUAUUUAUCCCAGUUGGCUUGUGUUCACCUCCAAGCAGCUCUCCAAUUAUCUUCCCAGCCGGUAGUUACCUCCUCUCUCUCCUCUUUUUUCUUUGCGCGUGUGUGUGUAUAUAGAGAGAGAGAGAGAGAGAGAUCCUAUAGCCGCAGCCCCCAACUCUUUCCAGGAAUCCCUAUUCCCAUUAAUUUCAAUUACCCACUCCUAGUCAAUAAGGGGCCCAAUUAGAUUGAUAUUUGCUUUGGGGUCGUCAAUUCUUCCAUGCAAUGAAAGGUUGUCAUU